RNAcentral lists this long non-coding RNA (1115 nucleotides) under Equus caballus (horse). RNAcentral describes it as "lncRNA (ENSECAG00000050682.1)". Lineage: Eukaryota; Metazoa; Chordata; Mammalia; Perissodactyla; Equidae. The record is from RNAcentral.
AGAGCUGUGCGAUCGGAGACAACUCCCUCCUCUCUUUCAGGGCCUCAGGUGGCCCAUCUCUAAAAUGGGGGCGGUGCUAUCUCUGAAGGUUCUCAGUUUCUGCCCGCCACCCUGCAAAGCAUGUCGAAUACAUACAAUCAGAAGGCGGUGCAGUGUGGUCGAUCAGGUAUCCGGCUUCCAAUGCUACUUAUCAGCUGUGUGACCUCAGGGUCAAUUAAAAGUGCCAGGAAAACGUCAGUCUCCACGGCAAGGGAAUUCAUCCAUUUGCCACACUUCAGGGAGCAGAGAAGCAACUGCCCACCCCUGUAGGGGACUCAAGUUCCCUCCUGACCUGAGUCAGGGUGCUGUCGGCGGGGGCCAGCCUGAGGCUUCUGUUCCGCAAUGGCUGGGGGACGCACAUACCUGGGGCCCCAGCCCACGUCCCUGAGGCUCACGAUAGAAGAGAAGGCAUUGCCAGCUCCAUUCUACUUUUGCUGAAAUUCAGCGCAGCCAGAGGCCACCCUUUCCAGGGGAGAAAUCUCACUCCGGCUUAGAAAGCAGUGCCAACUAUGCUCUUGAAUAGCAACUCCAAUAUUGCAACUCAAAUUCUGUCUUCUUUGUGGGCUGCGAAAGAUGUUCAGUGGCAAGUGUGUGGAUCUCAAAAGGUGCAUCAUUUGUUUAACCUCACUUCUGCCUUUUUCCUUCUCCUAUUUCCAGUUUGCUACCUUCUCUUCAUUUACUCUUUUAUAAUCUCUCACUGUAUCACAUGGAGAAUUCUAGAAUCUAAAGACUCAGACAUCCUUCCAUAGUGCUUGAACCAAUUUACAUCCUCACCAGGCAUCUGGAAAUUCUCAUCAAAAUCGCAAAGGCGUAUAGCCUUGGACCCGGCAAUUGUGUCAGCAGAAAUUUAUUGUGCAGAUUUACUUGCACCCACACAAAAUGAUAUGUGUCAGCGAUUAGAAAUAGCCCAAAUGUCCAUCAACGGGUGACUGGUAAAUCCAUAAAUGGAAUACUAUGCUGGGAUAAAAAAAAGAACUGGGAAGUUCUUUGUGUACUGACAUGGGAAGAUAUCCAAGAUAAUGUAAGUGGAAAAAGCAGCAUGCAGAAGAAUGUGUGAAAUUUACUACUUUUGUGUA